AAGGGAGACCUAAUUCAGGUAGGAGACGAAAAAAAAGUAGUCGCUACCAAGAAUCAAUCCCAAAAGGUCGGAGCGAGGCAAAAUUGGCUUUCAAACUAGGUUCUGGGUUCAAACAAGACCUGAAUCAGGAACAAGGGCUAUUAGCUCAGGUGGUUAGAGCGCACCCCUGAUAAGGGUGAGGUCCCUGGUUCGAGUCCAGGAUGGCCCACCUGUACAGGUGGCAAAAACAAAGAAAAGAAGCAAGGAAUCAGCACCUUAUCUUAUUUAUAUAUAGUAAGAGAGAAUGCUGGCUCUGAGUACAGAGUCCAGAGGAACCUUGAAAACUGCAUAGAGCUAGGUGAAAAAGCCAAAAAAGAAGACCGCAA
RNAcentral lists this transfer RNA (365 nucleotides) under uncultured cyanobacterium. RNAcentral describes it as "16S-23S ribosomal RNA intergenic spacer". The stretch from base 135 to 208 matches the Rfam family "tRNA". The record is from RNAcentral. Lineage: Bacteria; Bacillati; Cyanobacteriota.